CAGUAGCCGCGGGAAUACGUAGGUGGCAAGCGUUGUCCGGAAUUAUUGGGCGUAAAGGGCUCGCAGGCGGUUUCUUAAGUCUGAUGUGAAAGCCCCCGGCUCAACCGGGGAGGGUCAUUGGAAACUGGGAAACUUGAGUGCAGAAGAGGAGAGUGGAAUUCCACGUGUAGCGGUGAAAUGCAUAGAGAUGUGGAGGAACACCAGUGGCGAAGGCGACUCUCUGGUCUGUAACUGACGCUGAGGAGCGAAAGCGUGGGGAGCGAACAGGAUUAGAUACCCCGGUAGUCCCUGUCUCUUAUAC
RNAcentral lists this ribosomal RNA (301 nucleotides) under uncultured bacterium. RNAcentral describes it as "partial 16S ribosomal RNA". It matches the Rfam family "Bacterial small subunit ribosomal RNA", at positions 509 to 807 of the family's 1533-position model. The record is from RNAcentral.